UUGAUUUUUGCUUUUAAAAGGCAGAGAAAAAGUUAAAUGAAAAGCUAAACAAUAUGAAAAAGAGCUAAUAAAAGAGGGGCAUAUCAAACAUUGUAAUGCAAAGCAGGAAUAGAUAUUAACCAGCCUUUGGAGAAACAGCCUGAGAAGUUAGAUGCUGCUUCCUUUCCUGAAGCCCGAUCACCACGAGCCUGUUCCCCGUUGUCAUCCUUUCUUCUGCCCACCUGGACCUCUGCCAUCUCCAGCCAUGGCAACUGGAUUCCUUAACUUCUCCUGCUUGAUGAAACAGCUUGAGUAUGGACAAGUAGCAUUGACGGAUGUGUCAUCCACCCCCUUCUCAGCAGCCCAAUUCUUCUUGAGACUCAUACCUGUCCAGCUCUGCAAAUAGCCAAGACCUGGCUUGUUCCUCCAUCUGCCCUUGGUCCCAGCUUUCUACCCAUAAGACCUUGUGCUGGCACAGAGCUCCCCCUCCCUACACAGUUACUUGGAUACCAAUGUGAUAAGUGCAUCAACUGAACGAUGCUAAUAGACCCUAUGUAGACCUUAGUCCUUCUACCAUGGAAAACAUUUACUUUUGAGCAAGUCAGAGUCUCCAGUCUAUACCAUGGGCCAGAUUCACAGUCUACAUCCUCGGACCACAUCAUCAGUCACAGGAGACCCCACAAGAUCAGUGGUUCUCCAAGUAUGGUCCCCAGAACAGCAGCAUCAGCACUACUGGAGAGCAAGGCAACUCCUGGACCCGACCCAGAUCCACUGACUCAGUUCUGGGGGUGGAGACCAGCAUCUGUGUUUUCACAGCACUCUAGGUGAUCUGAUGCAUCCUAACAUGAGGCCAACACUGGAGUCAACCUCCACUCCAGUCUCUCCUCUCUCCUACCUGCAGGCAUAGAAGGGAUUUACCUUCUGAGAUGAAGAGAAGAAACUAGGCUCUUUUCGCAACAGCGAAAAAGUUGAAGUAACUGAAGUGUUCAUCAUCAGGUCAUAGAGAAAAAAAUUCUGCUGUAUCAGACCAAUAUUUAUAGUAAUGAAAUACUAACCACAAUAAAGAGGAAUAAACUACUGA
Odocoileus virginianus texanus is the source of this 1060-nucleotide non-coding RNA. The record is from RefSeq and is a predicted model, not a curated record. NCBI's taxonomy places the organism in Eukaryota, Metazoa, Chordata, Mammalia, Artiodactyla, Cervidae.